AUGCUUAGGAAUCUGCCAUUUAGUGGGGGACAACAUUCCGAAAGGAAUGCUAAUACCGCAUACGUCCUACGGGAGAAAGCAGGGGAUCUUCGGACCUUGCGCUAAAUGAUGAGCCUAAGUCGGAUUAGCUAGUUGGUGGGGUAAAGGCCUACCAAGGCGACGAUCUGUAGCGGGUCUGAGAGGAUGAUCCGCCACACUGGGACUGAGACACGGCCCAGACUCCUACGGGAGGCAGCAGUGGGGAAUAUUGGACAAUGGGCGGAAGCCUGAUCCAGCCAUGCCGCGUGUGUGAAGAAGGCCUUUUGGUUGUAAAGCACUUUAAGCGAGGAGGAGGCUACUAGUACUAAUACUACUGGAUAGUGGACGUUACUCGCAGAAUAAGCACCGGCUAACUCUGUGCCAGCAGCCGCGGUAAUACAGAGGGUGCGAGCGUUAAUCGGAUUUACUGGGCGUAAAGCGUGCGUAGGCGGCUUUUUAAGUCGGAUGUGAAAUCCCCGAGC
Molecule: ribosomal RNA, 500 nt
Filed under: Acinetobacter sp. WH001
Lineage: Bacteria; Pseudomonadati; Pseudomonadota; Gammaproteobacteria; Moraxellales; Moraxellaceae
Description: bacterial SSU rRNA
Rfam family: Bacterial small subunit ribosomal RNA
Source: RNAcentral